Molecule: ribosomal RNA, 253 nt
Filed under: uncultured bacterium
Lineage: Bacteria
Description: partial 16S ribosomal RNA
Rfam family: Bacterial small subunit ribosomal RNA
Source: RNAcentral
GACGAACCGUCCAAACGUUAUUCGGAAUCACUGGGCUUACAGAGUUCGUAGGCGGUCUGGAAAGUUGGGUGUGAAAUCCCUCGGCUCAACCGAGGAACUGCGCUCAAAACUGCCAGACUCGAGGGAGAUAGAGGAAAGCGGAACUGAUGGUGGAGCGGUGAAAUGCGUUGAUAUCAUCAGGAACACCGGUGGCGAAGGCGGCUUUCUGGGUCUUACCUGACGCUGAGGAACGAAAGCUAGGGGAGCGAACGGG